UACGAAGGGGGCUAGCGUUGUUCGGAAUUACUGGGCGUAAAGGGCUCGUAGGCGGCCAACUAAGUCGGACGUGAAAUCCCUCAGCUUAACUGGGGAACUGCGUCCGAUACUGGAUGGCUUGGAUUUGGGAGAGGGAUGCGGAAUUCCAGGUGUAGCGGUGAAAUGCGUAGAUAUCUGGAGGAACACCGGUGGCGAAGGCGGCAUCCUGGACCAAGUAUUGACGCUGAGGAGCGAAAGCCAGGGGAGCAAAGCGGG
Molecule: ribosomal RNA, 255 nt
Filed under: uncultured bacterium
Lineage: Bacteria
Description: partial 16S ribosomal RNA
Rfam family: Bacterial small subunit ribosomal RNA
Source: RNAcentral